This is a long non-coding RNA of Fukomys damarensis (Damara mole-rat), 2002 nucleotides long. The record is from Ensembl. NCBI's taxonomy places the organism in Eukaryota, Metazoa, Chordata, Mammalia, Rodentia, Bathyergidae.
CGGAAAGGAGAAGUACGGGACGGCACUCACUGUUGCUUUCGGGGCGUCCCGGUGAACAGGUCCGGGAGCGUGGCAGGAACCCGCCCAGAGGAACCCUCACCAGGCGCCCUGGUGGACACACAGGACCAUGAUGCUCCGCGGCGCAGCGCGGAAGAGCCCCGAAUGGGAGCCACGGCGGCUAGGACGGAGGACCUCGGUACACUCACGGGAGGGAAGAGUCAGCCACAAAAAUUAACCACCGCCAGCCAUGCCAAACGCAGCUCUAAUACGAAGCUUAAAGCGGUACCUUCUGUCUGUGACUUCAUCACUCCCGACCAGGGUCUUGGGAUACCUGGUAGGCAAGAAGUUCAAGGUGGAUGUAAUAAGCAGGAAGCCUCUAAGCUAUCUAAUUUACAGCCUCCCUGGGGAUCUUCCUUAGCCCUGGAGAAGACAGGAGACAUGAUGGAGAGACCGGCUUAUUGCUUUUCUAAUGUCCCCCCAACUGGGCUGGGGCUCGGAUGGAAGUGUCUGUGUCCAUUCACACACGUGCUCUCCCUGUGACCUAAACUUAGGUGGAAGUGAUAACUCAGGACACUGCCCAGCUAGGCGUGGGGGUACAGGUGCCUAUGUGGGCAGCGAUACCAGCGAUCUCAUCCCUUCUCACGUGAAAUCACUCCAUGCUGCCAAGGCUCCGGCCCUCUGGGAUCCAUCUGCUCACCUCAGCCGUGUGGACAAGCCACUGUCUUAAUCUUCCACAUCCCUAAUCUCAGACAUCUUAUCCACUGGGGAACUCCCUACAUUAGAAACAAACUGGGGCUGGGAACAGAAGUAACAUGUGUAGGACUGACCCCUUGUGCUUAGCAAGCACUCGGGAAUGGCCCCGUUUCGUGGACUGGCAAACUGACCUUACCUGUCCAAGGUCGUGGAGCAGGGAAGUGGAAAACCUCUGGGCCUGGGCUCUCCAUACCGACUCCCCAGCCAGCCUGUGUGGCGGACCUGUGUCGUGUAUUCAGGGCCUCCUAAAAGUAUCUGUUGCUUCUCCAGGCUGCACACUCUGGCUGGGUGCUCAGCAUGCAGGAUUCUCAGAGGCCUGGCCUCUGUUCUCUCUGGUCACUGGCAGGUCAUGUGCAAACCCCGUGGCGGUGUGACUUGAUUUUCCAGAGAUUGGGGGUGGAAGCGAACACGUGUCGGCCCCGUGCCCAUGUUGAAAUGGGUCCAUCCACGUAAAGACAGGGAGCCGAGUCCCUGAUAACCCAGGAUGGAUGUGUAAUGUAAGAAUUACACACUAAAAAAAAAAACUUUCCUGGAUCAAAUCCAGGGCCCUGUGCAUGUAUGAGCAACAGCUCUACCACUGAGCUGCACACACAGCCCCGAAAUAAACGUUUGCUGACUCAAACAGUACCCAACACGCCUCCAAAGCCUGAGUUGCUUCCUCACAACGGGGCUACUAAUUUCCACCUUGUGCAGUGGCUGUUAGUUCCUGACAUGCUGCCCUCCUCCUCCUCCCACUGGAAGAGGCCGACAAGAACCCUAAGAGCAAUUCAUUUGUAAUGUUGAUAAGUCGCUUAUAAUCCACAUCAUGAUUGUAGGAAAAACCGGAUUCCUGGAACAAAAGACAAACUUGCUGGCUGGGGUGGGACCGGCCCCACUCUUGACCAUACAAAGUCACACGGGAUGGUUCUUCCCCCAGGUCACAUGGGUUCCACAUUCUAAGAGCUGGGGAGCAGGGGCGACGAACUAGUUCAGCCCUUGUCUAAACUCUGAUGGUGAUGCUGGCUGAAUCGUUAGAAAGCUACAAUGAAUAGCUUGUGCCACACAGUAAAUACUCCCAGGUAACUGCAGAUAUGUUAUUUUUCAGACACUUGUUUUAGACAUGUGUGGACACCAUCAACUCAGAGCUCAUCAGAAGGUGGGAGGGAAAGUGAAAUGGGGCGGGGGGAGAGGGAGGAGGGGGGAGGGCGGUACAGCAGGGGAGAGGCGUGGGAUGAGCAGAGUCUGGGCCUGCCUGGAGGCUGUUCUUUGG